AUGUUUCAGAAUCUUUUUUUAUUGACGAUAACAUAUGUAAAGUGUCAGCUGGUCAGCGACUGUUUUGCUUCAAGGUAGUAAAUUAGUAUAUUGAAGCAGUCCACUUAAUUAACAGCAGUUAUAUAUUAUGUAUAUAAAACUACCAGACAUUGGGACAUUAUUUGCUUUAAAUUUUUUGGCGGCAAUUGUUGGGGUAGUUUAAAGAAAUCACCGGUGGAGACAAUUUUGAUUGAAACAAAAAGAAAGUAUGCAGACCAUAGUACUUGCAGUUUUGAUGGUAACAUGUUUAAUAGGUAAACAGGAAGUGCAUGUUGACGCAGCAAUGGUAUACAUGACCCCAAAUCAAUGUGCAAUAAACACUGCCGCAAUUGGAUGCAAACCAAGGAGACAUUUCAGUUCUGAAAACUCUGAUAAUUCUGAUGAUUCUCACGAUUCACACGAUUUUCAUGAUUCUGACAUAUCAGAUAGAUAUAGAAAAGUUAUGUCAAAGGGUGACCGGAAUUGUCAGGAUUGUUGUAGAAGGUCUGGUUGUCGGGGUGGCGGUUGUGUUGGUAGAACCUGUCGAUGUAGACAAUGUAAAUAACAUGAAAAAU
Mytilus trossulus (common blue mussel) is the source of this 593-nucleotide long non-coding RNA. RefSeq lists it as uncharacterized. The record is from RefSeq and is a predicted model, not a curated record. The transcript is spliced from 3 exons. NCBI's taxonomy places the organism in Eukaryota, Metazoa, Mollusca, Bivalvia, Mytilida, Mytilidae.